UACAGAGGUGCCGAGCGUUAGGCGGAAUCACUGGGCUUAAAGCGUGUGUAGGCGGAUGCCUAAGUACCUUGUGAAAUCCCACGGCUUAACCGUGGAACUGCUCGGUAUACUGGGUGUCUUGAGCCACUUAGGGGCUACCGGAACAAAUGGUGGAGCGGUGAAAUGCGUAGAUAUCAUUUGGAACGCCAACGGUGAAAACAGCUGGCUGGGGGUGUGCUGACGCUGAGACACGAAAGCCAGGGGAGCGAACGGG
Molecule: ribosomal RNA, 253 nt
Filed under: uncultured bacterium
Lineage: Bacteria
Description: partial 16S ribosomal RNA
Rfam family: Bacterial small subunit ribosomal RNA
Source: RNAcentral